GGAUGGGGUCGGGUAAGGGCGAGGUUUCCAGCUGAGUCUCAGGGUAUCUGGCCCCUUUCUCGGGGGCUGAAGGAGGAUGUGGAGGGGCGGUGAGCUUUCGGCGGUGAGUUCCAUUCGGGACACACCUGCAGGGCCUGCAGGGCACCCAGCUGGAGCUUCUUGGCAGGGAAGUGGGCACCAGAGAGCGGGGGAAGGGGGGAUCUGGCUGACAUCAGCACACAGAGGGUAACUGAGUCACUGAGUGAGGAGGGCUGUGGGGGUGACAGGAGAAGCAGGCAGGGGCAGAACACGGAGGGGUCCCUGAACAUUCAGGAGUCGGGCAAGGAGCGCAAGGUCCUCAUCUCCUGGAGGGUUUGGCCGUGAACAGAGAGCAACAUUUUGAUGGUCAGGUGGUCAGGAGAGGGAUGAACUUUGGUGGGGUGGGGGGCAGGGAAACUGGACUUGUAGGCUUUCUGAACAUCCCACCAAGUGGCUGUCUGUUCAGCAGACCUGUCCUCAGGGCGACUGAUGUCUGCGGGAACUGACUCAGGUGCAGUCAGACUCUGAAGGCCUCUCUGGCUGCAGUGCUGAGCACCCAUGAUAGCGGCUGGAUGACCUGAAUUAUGGGAGUGUGCCGGUAACAAACCCUUGGAAGCAGCGGGGGCAUUGGCCUCCUGCUCCCCAUUUACCCUGUGCUCUCCCCGAUCAGCCGCGUGCCAGAAGCAGAUGUCGUGUGUUUGGAUCUGUCUCACUGCUGAAUUCACCUUCUGAAUUUUUCCCAGGUAUUGCCGCUCUCAGUGUGGUAGAAAAGGUGUCCAAUGGUGUUGUGCUGGAGCCGCCCCCACCAGCUCCUGAGAGCCAAUGGUUACGUGUUGAGAGACAAGGUCCUGCUAUGUUUCCCGGGCUAAUCUCGUACCUGGCCUCAAGCCAUCCUCCCGCCUCAGCCUCCCAAAGUGCUGAGCUUGCAGGUAUAAGCCACCAUGCCUGGCCCCUUUGUGCUUCUUACACACUAAAUAACCAGAUGGAAUCUAAUAACUGGCAUAAUUUGAAACUAGAG
Molecule: long non-coding RNA, 1036 nt
Filed under: Callithrix jacchus (white-tufted-ear marmoset)
Lineage: Eukaryota; Metazoa; Chordata; Mammalia; Primates; Cebidae
Description: lncRNA (ENSCJAG00000074622.1)
Source: RNAcentral